UCUAGAUUCAAUAAAAAUUUCAGAAAACCCGACAUUUUAUGUACCAAAAAGGUCCAAACAGAACCGAUGCAAGUGUCAAUAGCUCUCUCUCUUGCUACUGAUUCUUAAAUGAUUUUUACCAGUACCCAAAGGAAUGAAAUCAGCAACUUUCUCCACACUCUCAUCAACACUCCAAUUUUCAAAGCCACAAUUCGCAAACGUCAGUUUGGGCGGGGAGCAGUGGGGGUCUUCAAAUAAUCAAAAAAUUCCUUUUCUCCUCUGACAGUCUACCAACAGAUGUCAAACCAAAUUCAGUCUAUUGUAAAGCACUGGGACCUCCCUUCCAAGGACACGGGACACAAACACAGACACCACUGCACAAAGCUGUCCAAAAGCUCCUGGCCCGACAAUAAAACAAGGGGCCCAGAAAAGAACGAAUCAGAAGCCUCAAUAGGGUCCCGCAGAGACGACGGAAAUUAAAAUAGCAUUUAUUCAGGAGUAAACAGCAACAAAUUAAAGGAAGUUUCCCCAACCGGACUCUUGGGCCUUUCUCUAUUCAAGUUCAGGCUCAAAGCAGAUAUAUUUGCGGGGGUCCCUUCCCCUACAGGCAUCUCAACCGCUGCCAGGGUCCACAGUCGCUCAAAGGGCUGCUGUGCAGGGAGUGUCGGCCAGGUUUGGCGCACUGUCCCAGGUCCCGGGCGAAGGCGGCCAGGGGAAAUGGGUCUUAGAGAUUGCUAAGCAAACGGCACCAUUGGUGGUCUCCAGCGCCUGUAGAGUUCCCAAGUCAAAACUAACAUAUGGAUGGAGUCAGAGAAGGAGAGGAAAGCUGGGCCUUUCCGAAGAGUGGAUCUAUCUGGACUGGAAAUUACCAUUGAAAUUUGCUGCACAUUUUAUGGUGACCCCAAAACUCCUUUGCUUGCUUGCUUUAGAGUAUCAAUGUAUUGCCACUUUACUACCUGGAGCAAGACUAAAUACAUAGAUUCAUAAGUAGAUAUGCACAUACAAUCAUAUACUGCUACUCUCAGGCUAAUUUAGGAAAUUUUUACAUUCCAGAGCAGUAGCACUUUGCAGUUAGAUGAAGAUCAGUUGUGUUUCUUUCUAUGGUGAGUGAAAUGUGUCAGAGGAAAAAUCAAGAUAAUACAUCAUGGAAAAAUACGAAGGAAGUUCUUUAAUAUUUUGUGCUAUAGAAUUUUUAUCUUUCAAGUAUACUUUUUUCUUCUUGUCUAC
Camelus dromedarius (Arabian camel) is the source of this 1206-nucleotide long non-coding RNA. RefSeq lists it as uncharacterized. NCBI's taxonomy places the organism in Eukaryota, Metazoa, Chordata, Mammalia, Artiodactyla, Camelidae. The record is from RefSeq and is a predicted model, not a curated record. The transcript is spliced from 3 exons.